Molecule: small nuclear RNA, 104 nt
Organism: Cercocebus atys (sooty mangabey)
Lineage: Eukaryota; Metazoa; Chordata; Mammalia; Primates; Cercopithecidae
Source: Ensembl
GUGCUUCCUUUGGCAGCACAUACACUAAAAUCAGAACAAUACAGAGAUUAGCAUGGUCCCUGCACUAGGAUGAUACACAAAUUUGUAAAACAUACCAUUAAAAA